GAUGAACGCUGGCGGCGUGCCUAAUACAUGCAAGUCGAGCGAACAGACGAGGAGCUUGCUCCUCUGACGUUAGCGGCGGACGGGUGAGUAACACGUGGAUAACCUACCUAUAAGACUGGGAUAACUUCGGGAAACCGGAGCUAAUACCGGAUAAUAUAUUGAACCGCAUGGUUCAAUAGUGAAAGACGGUUUUGCUGUCACUUAUAGAUGGAUCCGCGCCGCAUUAGCUAGUUGGUAAGGUAACGGCUUACCAAGGCAACGAUGCGUAGCCGACCUGAGAGGGUGAUCGGCCACACUGGAACUGAGACACGGUCCAGACUCCUACGGGAGGCAGCAGUAGGGAAUCUUCCGCAAUGGGCGAAAGCCUGAUGGAGCAACGCCGCGUGAGUGAUGAAGGUCUUCGGAUCGUAAAACUCUGUUAUUAGGGAAGAAAAAAUGUUUAAGUAACUAUGCACGUCUUGACGGUACCUAAUCAGAAAGCCACGGCUAACUACGUG
RNAcentral lists this ribosomal RNA (497 nucleotides) under uncultured bacterium. RNAcentral's name for it is "partial 16S ribosomal RNA". It matches the Rfam family "Bacterial small subunit ribosomal RNA", at positions 28 to 507 of the family's 1533-position model. The record is from RNAcentral.